This is a long non-coding RNA of Chelonia mydas (Green sea turtle), 986 nucleotides long. RefSeq lists it as uncharacterized. The transcript is spliced from 3 exons. The record is from RefSeq and is a predicted model, not a curated record. Lineage: Eukaryota; Metazoa; Chordata; Testudines; Cheloniidae.
AUGUGAUCUCCCUUGAGACACUCUUGUCUCUAGCUAACAGAGUGAGCAGAUUUUAAAUAUUUUGCAUUUGUUAUUAUGAGUUGUUGGUGAAAUCUCAAGAAAUGAAGGCAUGGCUGAACAAUCCCUUGCUUUGCUUUGUUUGAAUCCGGCUCCUGAGCGUUUUACAGCAAAGUUACUCACUGUGAGUUUUGGAUGAACCUCAGCUGGGAGAUGAUUCAUUUACCGAAGGUAUAUGCUUCUCUACCAGGUAACCAUCCCAGGCUGCUGUCUGAAGAUCUCUGUAAACACCAGUCUGGCAGCCUGCAUGUGCCAGUGGUCCACAGCUCUUGCGACUGCCGCUUGGGAGUGAGCUCUUCAGGCCUGAGCUGUUGUCACCUACAAGGCUCCCCAUAGGGAAAUGUUCCUCUUGUAGAGACCAAAUUAACACACACUUCCAAGAUGCAUAUGGCUAAGGGAUUAAUCUUGGACUUCUAGGGUAGGAUUUUCAAGUGUUCACUGAUGCCCUAACUCCAAUUUAUUUUACCAUUAACUUCCACGGGAGCAGCUAAGAUAACCCUGAACUAUCUUGCAAAUCGCACUCCUAGUGUUAUUUUGUUCCAUCUGUGGUACUUGUAUGGCCCCUAGCACCACAAUAUAUGAGUGCCUCCCAAUGUAUAUCUCCUCAUAAUACCUUUUGUGAAGUAGGGAAGUGCUACCAUCUCCAUUUUACAGAUGGGGAAUGGAGGCACAUAAGCUGACCCAGCUCACACAGGAAGUUUGUGAUGGAGCAGGCUAGUGCCUAAACACUGGACCAUCCUUGUUCUGUAUGCAUCAGAUUGUAUUUAAAUACAAUGAGAAUACCAUAUAACAAACAACAUCCCAAACUAAGUAAUGAGACAACAGAUCAUGCCCAAUACAUCAGAAUACCCAAGAUGGGUAAUAGUCAUAAUGGAACAGACGAAUUCUGCACUCUUUCACUGAAGUGACCCAAAUUCAAUUCAAUAUUA